RNAcentral lists this ribosomal RNA (649 nucleotides) under uncultured bacterium. Its description in RNAcentral is "bacterial SSU rRNA". It matches the Rfam family "Bacterial small subunit ribosomal RNA", at positions 43 to 655 of the family's 1533-position model. The record is from RNAcentral.
CAGGCCUAACACAUGCAAGUCGAGCGGAAACGGCGGUAUUGAAGCUUCGGUGGAUUUACUGGACGUCGAGCGGCGGGCGGGUGAGUAACGGCUGGGAACCUGCCCUGACGAGGGGGAUAACCGUUGGAAACAACGGCUAAUACCGCAUAAUGUCUUGAUUCGUUAGAGUCAGGACCAAAGGUGGCCUCUACAUGUAAGCUAUCGCGUUGGGAUGGGCCCAGUUAGGAUUAGCUAGUUGGUAAGGUAAUGGCUUACCAAGGCAACGAUCCUUAGCUGGUUUGAGAGGAUGAUCAGCCACACUGGGACUGAGACACGGCCCAGACUCCUACGGGAGGCAGCAGUGGGGAAUAUUGCACAAUGGGGGAGACCCUGAUGCAGCCAUGCCGCGUGUGUGAAGAAGGCCUUCGGGUUGUAAAGCACUUUCAGCAGUGAGGAAGGUCGUGUACUUAAUACGUGCACGGCUUGACGUUAGCUGCAGAAGAAGCACCGGCUAACUCCGUGCCAGCAGCCGCGGUAAUACGGAGGGUGCGAGCGUUAAUCGGAAUUACUGGGCGUAAAGCGCAUGCAGGCGGUUUGUUAAGUCAGACGUGAAAGCCCGGGGCUCAACCUCGGAACCGCAUUUGAAACUGGCAGGCUAGAGUCUUGUAGA